RNAcentral lists this ribosomal RNA (725 nucleotides) under uncultured organism. RNAcentral describes it as "bacterial SSU rRNA". It matches the Rfam family "Bacterial small subunit ribosomal RNA", at positions 691 to 1413 of the family's 1533-position model. The record is from RNAcentral.
UAGAGAUCGGAAGGAACACCAGUGGCGAAGACGGCCCCAUGGGCUGCUCCAGACACUGAAGGCGAAAGCUAGGGUAGCAGAACGGGAGUAGUAACCCCGGUAGUCCUACACCGUAGACGACGGAGACUAGGUGUAGGAGCUUAUAACUCCUUCUGUGCCGGAGCUAACGCGUUAAGUAUCCACGCUUGGGGAGUACGCUCGCAAGGCUAAAUCUCAAAGGAAUUGACGGGGGCCCGCACAAGCAACGGACGCGUUGUGGUUUAAUUAGUAUGCAACGCAGAAGCACUUUACUCAGGGCUUGACAUGUAGGUAGUAGUGAAGCGAAUAGUGGUUCGAUCCUUCGGGAAGCAUACACAGCUUCUGCAUGGUCGUCGUCAGCUCGUGCCGUGAGGUGUUAGGUUAAGUCCUGUGACGAGCCGCUACUCCACUGCCGUUACGUUACAAGUGUCUCACGGGAUUGCCCGGCAAUACUGGGAGGAACGCGUGGGGAUGACUUCAAGUCAGCUCUGGCUUGUAUGUCCCUGGGAUACACACACGUUACAAUGGCCGCUACUAUGGGUUACCAAGCCGCGAGACGGAGCCAAUCCUCUAUAGUCGGUCUCAGUUCGAAUAGUAGGAUGCAACCUGCCUGCAUGACGUUGGAGUUGCUAGUAUCCGCAGGUCAGCCACACUGCGCUGAUACGUUCCAGGGCUUUGACACACCGACAGUCACGUCAUGGAAGCUG